Molecule: ribosomal RNA, 163 nt
Filed under: uncultured bacterium
Lineage: Bacteria
Description: partial 16S ribosomal RNA
Rfam family: Bacterial small subunit ribosomal RNA
Source: RNAcentral
UAGGGAAUUUUCGUCAAUGGGCGCAAGCCUGAACGAGCAAUGCCGCGUGAACGAGGAAGGUCUUCGGAUCGUAAAGUUCUGUUGAAGGGGAAAAAGAGCGGAGAGAGGGAAAUGCUUUCUGAUUGAUAUUACCCUUCGAGGAAGUCACGGCUAACUACGUGCC